This is a long non-coding RNA of Drosophila elegans, 458 nucleotides long. RefSeq lists it as uncharacterized. The transcript has 3 exons. Lineage: Eukaryota; Metazoa; Arthropoda; Insecta; Diptera; Drosophilidae. The record is from RefSeq and is a predicted model, not a curated record.
AAUGUAUAUCAUAUUUGUCUUUGUUUUUUAAAAUGUUUCCCUUUUGUUUAGUCUAUCAGAACAUUUUCCAGAUGAUCACAUGUUUCCAAACGCUUCAGCAGAAAAUCAAUAGCUAAGGGUAUCUUUUGAAACACUAAAGAAAAAUGUUACCUUGCUCUCAGACGCAGUGGCCUUCCAGACGGAAUUAAUUAAGGAAUUACUUAACCGACAACAGAAUAAUGGCAUUUCAGAAACUAGCACUUUUAGCUUUCCCUUAAAAACAGAAGAGGAUUUGUUCUUAAUAGACAGAGAUAUGGCGUUGGAUGCACAAGUCAUAUAUAUAAAUGAAAUGAAAAAUAUAUUUAGUCAGGCGACGCUAUCAAAAUCGUUGAAAAAGAAGAAGAACUGAAGAACUUGUUUUAGAAUGUUUAGAAAAAUGAAGACUGCAAAAACUGUAUGACCGAUUUGGAUGAUAAUAG